Molecule: long non-coding RNA, 1193 nt
Filed under: Oryctolagus cuniculus (rabbit)
Lineage: Eukaryota; Metazoa; Chordata; Mammalia; Lagomorpha; Leporidae
Description: lncRNA (ENSOCUG00000038831.1)
Source: RNAcentral
ACCCCACAUACUCACACACACUCUCACACACACUCGAUUCCACAUGCCUUUUCCCGUCAUGCUGCUUCUUGGGGUGUCCCCAUCCGUGUCGUCCAAGGACCAUGUCCUCGUCCUUACGUGGGACAGCUCUGCAGGCUCCCGUGACAUCCCACGGAUAUUUAUUUAUCGCCUGCUGCAUGCCAGUCCCCCACGCGAGUGCCACAGUUACCAUGGUGACUCGAGGCAGGCCCCGCCUUCUGGAAGAGCAGAGUGACGAAGCCCUGCGGUCCAGUGCUGGCUGCCAGUUCCCAGCCCUCGGCAGGUGCUGCUGUGGGCCCAGGGGCGCCACAGUGAAUAAAACCCAGGGGACCCCCGCCCAGGGCUCCGCCGCCUGGGAGCUGACUUCUAGCCUCGGGCGAACGGAGAAGCGGGGUGCCGGGGUGGGGAGCUACUGGAGGAAACACUGGGUCGGACAGCGGAGGGGGUGUGUAGCCAGGGGGCGGGGGAGGGGGAGGGCCAGAGCGGGGCCGGUGUCUGGCCAGGGUGCCCUCAGCAGCCAGGCAGGAGGUAAGAGGGGCCCUGGGCAGCUGUGGGAGCCGCAGUGGCUGUCCGUUGGGUGUGCUGUGUGGACGGAGGGGCCGGGACAGGGUGCCCUGUCACCCUGUCGCUCACGCCACCCCAGACUGAGCCGUCACUGGCCCUGGGAGGGGCACUAGCUCCUGGCAUUUGUUUCUUGGCUAGCCUCUUAUUCUGACCCUUGCCUGGGAGGGCUUGGGCCGGCAGAGCACCAGCUGCCCCUAGAAGUCUAGCUAGUGGGCCUCGACUAUCCCUUAGGAAAUCCUUUUGAAUUAUUAUAAUUCUAAAUUAGGAUACACAGGCUGGGGCCAGCGUUGUGGCACAGGGGGGUAAGCGGCCGCUAGCAAUGCCGGCGUCCACAUCAGAGUGCAAGUUCUAGUCCCAGCUGCUCCACUUCCUAUCCAGCUUCCUGCCAGUGCACCUGAGAAGGCAACAGAAGAUGGCCCAAGUCCUUGGGUCCCUGCCAUCCACGUGGGAGACCCGGAUGGGGCUCCUGGCUCCUGGCUUCAGCUGGCCCAGACCUGGCCAUUGCGGACAUUUGGGGAGUGAACCAGUGGAUGGAAGAUCUCUCCAUCCGUCCCACCCUUUGUUCCUCUGCCUGUCAAAUGAAUAAAUAAAUCUUUUAAAGGAAAAGAACA